UAUCUUUUAAAUUUUUUAUUUAUUUUUUCACCCAAUUGUACAAAUUAGUCUCUGUUUGGCCUUAGUGUCCCAAAAAUCAUAUUUAUACACAACUAAAUACAACUCGCGAAUAUGUUUUAAAUGGAUGUUUCCUCACUUGAUGAUGAAUCAUCCAUUUACAUAUUUGCUGAGUGCUAAAACUGAUGCCACUGAACUUAUAAGCGGUUAUUUUAACAAAGCCCCCAAAUCCCCUAUGAGCAAGCACUUGGCGACAGUGGGGAGGAAAAACUCCCUUUUAACAGGAAGAAACCUCCGACAGAACCAGGCUCAGAAAGGGGUGGCCAUCUGUCGCGACCGAGUGGGGUUCGAAUGUUCACAUGAAAAUUUAGUUGUAUAUAAAUAUGAUGUUGAGGCCAAAAUACUAAAAGGUUCAUAGCUCUCACAACUCCUCUGCAAAGGGAUUCCCUAAGAGAGAGAAAAAGUGGUUACCAAGAACUUGAGGACAUUACCUACAUAUAAAAAUAUAAAUAAUUAUAAAUUUGUUUUGUUUUUUUUAACAAUGUCAGAAGGAGAGAGGCACUGAGGCACCGUCUUCCGCCCCCCGGCGCACCUGCUGUGCCUCUUCCUUCUGACAGGAACUCCCUACAGAGCAAGUUUGAAUGAUGCCUGAGUGGACAAACACAACUUAUAAGUUCCUGGCUCUCUCAGCUCCUCUGCAGAGGGUUUCCCUAAGAAGGUGGACCUAGCAGGGUCACCGGGGGACGGGGAGCUGUGCCUCACGGCCUUCACUUCGUCGGAGAAACCCUCCCGCAGAGUUGUUCAGAAACUUAUGUGUUGUCCUUGUGAGCCUCCACCAUUUACUGAUGGGUACAGCCUGGACUGUCUAGAGACAGACCAGACCAGCUGCACAACACAGACACUUCAAACCUCACCUGAGGACAAAAAUUACAAGAACAAAAAAAAAAGAAAGAAAACGUAGCUUAGGACCAUGCAGCGUUACAGGAGACAGCAGCACUGCAGAG
Long non-coding RNA from Oreochromis aureus, 1001 nucleotides. Lineage: Eukaryota; Metazoa; Chordata; Actinopteri; Cichliformes; Cichlidae. The record is from Ensembl.